Non-coding RNA from Triticum aestivum (bread wheat), 119 nucleotides. The record is from Rfam. NCBI's taxonomy places the organism in Eukaryota, Viridiplantae, Streptophyta, Magnoliopsida, Poales, Poaceae.
GGAUGCGAUCAUACCAGCACUAAAGCACCGGAUCCCAUCAGACCUCCGAGGUUAAGCGUGCUUGGGCGAGAGUAGUACUAGGAUGGGUGACCUCCUGGGAAGUCCUCGUGUUGCAUUCC